UUCAUCACGACGGAAUCCUCCAUAACCCUAAUAUCCCUGUAAAGACUGCACACCAAUUCAUCACACCUCCGUCCACUGCCAUACACCUCCGUCCACCGCCAUGAGUUUUAUCAAUUGUGUACUUCGAUCACGAUUCAGUUCUGGUGAUCUACGCAGCCACCAUCACACUUUGCCGUAAACCUUUGUUCGAUGGAGCUUUCGGUCGUACCGUAACUACCAUUGCGCCAUCAGGUGUGCUCUGUGCUGAUAAACAUAAUGCCACAGGAAAUUAGUUUGAAUUCUGUGAUAUUCAACACACCUAGCAAGAAUUUCAACGACUUAAAGCUCUAAAUUCAUUCACUAAGAAUGACACUGAAGAGUUCAUUGAUGAUCGUGAAUUAGCUCAACAGAAAGCUGAAGCAGCAGGUGCGUUUUUAUUAUAUAUACAUAUAGAUUUUUCCACUUUUCAAUUAUUAUAUAAAAGAAAAAUUUUGUAUUGGUUUCCCUCCCUUGUUUUGUAACCUUUGUUGUGACGAUUAAUGCCUAUUACUGUGGUUUAAUUUUGAAAAAUAAUAGUUAUAACAAAGGUACAUUAGAUUUGGUGUGUGAGUGUGAGGAUCUGUUAUUA
RNAcentral lists this long non-coding RNA (607 nucleotides) under Helianthus annuus (common sunflower). RNAcentral describes it as "hypothetical non coding rna". Lineage: Eukaryota; Viridiplantae; Streptophyta; Magnoliopsida; Asterales; Asteraceae. The record is from RNAcentral.